RNAcentral lists this ribosomal RNA (588 nucleotides) under Triticum aestivum (bread wheat). Its description in RNAcentral is "partial small subunit ribosomal RNA". The record is from RNAcentral. Lineage: Eukaryota; Viridiplantae; Streptophyta; Magnoliopsida; Poales; Poaceae.
AUGCCAGCCAGGGAGUCAUCUUGGCUCGACGCGGUCCUUUGCGUCUUGAACCUCGCGUUUGGCUUUAAAAAGAAGCUAUUUCUAACGAAGGGUCAAUGGGAGAAAAAGGUAGUGUAUACAUUUUAUUUAGAGCUUAUCUAUGACCUUGUGCACUUGUCUUUAUAUAUGCUCUUCUUCGUAGAUAUCUUCCUGAACCAUGGUGACCGACUGCACUUGAUCCGUGAGCUGUACGAGACCUUCCGUAAGUUCAAAAUUCGUGUUUCAGAUUAUGUGCACCACAGAAAGAUAACUUCCAGCAUGAAUGGACAGUUUCCAGAUGCUACAGCACAUGAGCUUAUUGUGAGUGAUGUUACAUGUAUUAUCUGUCGUGAAGAGAUGACAACAACAAAGAAGCUACUUUGCAUCGGUGCUCCAGGUUCAGAAGGAGUAACAAGCAAGAACGUGAACAGGCGCCCAACAAAACUUGAGGCCUACAUGAACUGGUGCCCAACAAAACAGGCAAUCUUCGUUGAAUGUUGUAACAUAUUUACAACUGGAUUCAAUUUUAAGUCAGAAAUAAAAGUUGUUCAAGUUUCAGACAUUAUAUGA